CACCCGCUGGAGAGAGGAAGCCUUGUGUAUUUCAAGGGACACCGUCCCAUCUUUCUAAUUUGUUUGCUUUUUCAAAGAAAAAAAAAAGUGUUCUAAAUGUUAACAUCUUCCUAGUUGUCCUUUUUAAAAAAUCUAAGAAUUAAGAGAUGAAGAUGGAGAAAUAAGAUGUUUGUCAUUUCCUGGAGAUUCUGGAGUUUGGGGUCUUGUGUAUGGAGCCACUUCUAUGUGUUUGGGACUUCUGCAGAGGUAUCUCCUUGUAUCAAAACUUUAGAGGACCCUGACUUGGAAUUCUCACCUCUAAGUCUACCCAGCUCUGCCAGUAUCAUGCCAUGAAGUUCUUUCUCUCCUAUAAAAUCCUGUCCAUUUGGCCUCUAUGCCUAGAGCCAAAGCACUUUUUCCCUGUCUGAAAUUGAUGCUGCGUCACACCAUGGUCCCAGUUCAGCCAUAGUGUUGUCUGGCCCUCUCUCCAUGUGCCUUUUUUUUCCUCCAGGUGUCAGGACAUGGGCAAUGCCCCCGGGAGUUACACAAAGUUAACAGUGUCCAAUCUUGCUUUCUCAUGUGCAUGCAUACAGGACUGACUUACAGUAGUUACUGCUUCAGACUACUUAAGAAAAUAAUUGUGAGGACUUUUCUGAAGAAUGACUCGUCUGAGCUGACAUUGAAAUGUUGUUACCUUCUUAUGAGGAUAAUGUUGUCUGUACCCAAGACUGCAAAUUAUCACUUAAGGGCUUGCUAUUGAAAUGGGUUAAUAUUAUCACCUGGGUUACAUUUACUUAGGGGUUUAAAAAAUUUUCUAGCAAGAGGAUUUCCUUCCUUUUAGGGGGCAGAGAAUGAGGAAUACAUGGGAAAACUGAAAGUAAAAUUGUACACCAAAUGGGGUGGGUGUUGCAAACUGUUCAUCUUUCCUUUUAUGCAAUCUUGAAAAGUCUGAACUCCCUCUGCAAAAUCAUUUAAAGCCUUCAUGUUUUAGGUAGUAUUUUUGUACGUGGAUUAGGUUAUUACCAUGAUUUGGAGAGACAGGUGAGACACAGGACUUCGUGUGAAUCAUACCAGGUCACACUGGUCAUCAUAGGUUCUCAGCCUGUUGGAGAAAUUUCAUUUUUCAUUGGCAGUAUGGUCCUUCUCCACUGAGCUGCCUCCCUUUCAUCUUUUUUUCCCCACAUAAGCAUGCCACUUGAAAGAAACAUGUUUUAUGCUUAUAACUCUUAAUUAACUGUGGCUACCAAAGAAGAGAGUAGCAUGAAUAGAGAAGUACUUGAAGAUGGCCCUGAGCUUUAUUUUUCCAAUUUCCGCCUUUCACCAAAGUACCUUCUUUUAAAUGAUGCUAAACAUUGUUACGUUCUUGACUUGUGUCUUUUUUUUUCUUUUUUUGCCCCGACUGCCUUUUUUUUUUUGGUAUUCACAAGGCUCUAGUAAAGCACGAAAUGCUCAGAGACUGAUAGGAAGUAGAACAAGACCAGGCGAGUGCUCUGGGUGGCCUGGAAGUUUGAAAACCUUGUCAUUUUUCUUCCUCGGUUUUUUAGAAGGAGAAAAGGCAAAGCCACAAAUUAAAACUACAGACCACAUCUUCCACCCAGCAUGCUUACUUUUUUCGUGAGUUGUGAUCGGUUCAGCCAGUGGGUAUAUUCCCAGGCUCUCCGACUGAGCCAGCCGCCCAUCCUGGAGCCGGCGCUGGGCCUGCGCCCGUCCCUGACAGAUGGCCAUCCAGCCCUGCUGGAGCACAGCGACGGCUCGGGUAGGCCAAUCCCAUUUUUGGAGAAAACAGAUUGUUAGAAAGCUCUUCCUUAAAUAGAAUCAGAUUUUUACAUUUCUUUAACUUCCUUCCUUCCUUUGGCUCUUACUUUGCCCUCUAGGCCUGUGCCGAGUAGAUCGGAUCCUCUUCUGUAGUGUCAGCCCUCCCAUAGGCUUGGCUUCAAUCCAGGCAGGCAGUUCUUGGGAAACAUUUCUGUUAAGCAUUGGGUACUGUAAAAAUACAGAUAAGGUGAUGUUCUGAACCCUUGUAUUGAUUUUUGCAAUAUGUAUUGAUCUUCAUAGCCGAAAGGCCCUUGGGGAUCAGUAUCCCCGUCAUGCGGGAGAAAUAUCCCCAUGGUUAGUAUAUAUUUUUUGUUUUGAUCUCUUUAUCCUGCUUACCUGGAGGUUUUGGUUGGACAAAGCGACCUUGUUAUCUCAGCAUGAGUUUUCCCUUGUCCCAUUGAGCUGCAUCUAAUAGAAGAGGAGGCACCCCCUGACCAGGUCUCACCGUCAUGCAGUAACUUCUGUGCAAAGUUUAUAGAUGUGGCUUUGCCAAGAAGGAAGGUAAGAAUGCUUUCCAUAGCUCCCCACUCCCAUUAGUUUUUUGGUUUUUGGUUUUUUUUUUUUUUUCCCCCUAAAAAGAUAGGAGCCAAAGUAUUCAUGGCUUCCUAUUAUUGUUGCUGACUAUAAUUAAAUAGGUAUACCAUCAGAAUGACAGUAUGAGUUUAGGCCAGUUCUCUGCUGUGUAUUGGGAGUGAAGACAGCACUGAAAGUACACCACAUGUAUACUGACCAUGGUUUUUGUUGUUGGUGGUGGUGGUGGUGUUUUGAGACAAGGCCUCACUCUGUUGCCCAGGCUGGACUGCGGUGGCGUAAUCACUGCUUACUACAUUCUCGACCUCGGUAUCCUCCCACCUCAGCCUCCCGAGUAUCUGGGACUAUAGGCAUGCACCACCACACCCACCUAUUUUAUAUUUUUUGUAGAGACAGGAUUUUGCCAUGUUGCCCAGACUGAUCUUUAACUCAUAGGGUCAAUCUAGUAAUUACUCACGGCACCACCCACAUUUGCAAUUUUCACUGCUUUGGGAGUCCACCUAAUUCAUAAAUACAUGGUAAGAUUCCCCACUGCUUUGGAAUAAAAUGGCACCGGCCUCCCCAGCAAAGCCACAGUGUUGUAUGUUGCGUCCUCCAUUGCAGAUUACCCUAACUCUGUGUAGUCCUCUCCUGCUUUCUGGUACUCAUUUGCUGUCCUGAAGUUGGUAGUAAACUUAAUUUUGUCACAUACAGUACUUUGUAAGAGUUGCUUGAGGAAAGAUGUGAGUACCUUUGACAAAAAGAGCUCCUAUGAAAGUAUUCACAUUCUUUCUCUGCAGUAAUUUCAAAGUGAAUAAAACAACCUGAGCUCUUAUUUUCACAAGGGCAAAACAUGUAUAUACUGGAUCUCCUCUCAUAUUCAGCAUAUGAUGAUGAAUAGUUAGAACUCUCCCACAGAUAACAGGGAAUGAUGAUGAUCAAGAACUGCUUCUGCUGGCAGAAUCAGCUGACGUUUUUGAAGGGCUCAGACUGCACAGCUCUGAGCUCAGCGGAGAGAGGACCUGGGCUGAGGUCUGGCCUUGAUAUUGCAACUCACUUAGAAAAUCAUUCAGGCUAGGUGUUGUAAAAGCACUAUGCUACAUCUUUUGAGAUGGGGAAGCUGCUCCCAGGGAGGUAUUUUUCAAAGAUUUCCCUUCAAGCUACUGAAGAGCCGUUUUUUGUUACUACUUUAUGACACCAGCUGGAGCCCUGCAAGGCCCCAAAGGUUAAUUCUCUUUUCGGUCGUUAGCAUAGGCUUAAGGGCUGACUCACAUUACCCAAAAAGUUACAGUUCCAUUUGCAACCUGAUCAUAUCCUCAGGAGGGUAUGUUCACAGGCCCACCUGCCCAAGGCUCACCCUGCCGCCCUACCCACCUGGGACUUCAGCAUCCAGUGUGACCUGCCCCAGGGCUCAUUCGUCAGCAUUCCUCCCAACGAGACCACACCUAGGCCUAGGGUGGUUAGAAACUUGUCAUGAUCGGCCCCAGAACUCUCCUACCUCUGUGAUCCAAGCUAGACCUGGGAACAGUGGGAACACAGAGGCUGCUGAGAGGGCUCCCUAAUGCCCUCUCAGCAGCCUCUCAAACCUUUGCACUGGUUUGAGCUGAUGCUUUUGGAUGGGGACAGGGUGACUGGCAACUGUAUGUGAAACUGACAAGGUUCUGAAAGGCAUAUAGAAUCAACUUUGGAAUUGAACUGAUCAAAGACGCAAAGGAGUACAGCUGUAGGAUUGUUACGUAAGAUCCAAAAGCAGUUAAAAGCAGCACUUGGUAUUAGAGUCAAGAUUACAGUACUUGGGAGGGAGGAAAGCAGAGCCCAAGUGAGGGUAGAGGGGCUUCUGUCUUGGUGAUCUCCUGCCCUGGGGUCUGUGGGGCAGGCUUAUGGGCACACCUGCUGAAAGUGAUAGGGGCCGUUGGUACCGUUGAGGUUUUCCUCUUUUUUUUUUU
Molecule: long non-coding RNA, 4250 nt
Organism: Sapajus apella (tufted capuchin)
Lineage: Eukaryota; Metazoa; Chordata; Mammalia; Primates; Cebidae
Exons: 2
Source: RefSeq, a predicted model, not a curated record